This 468-nucleotide ribosomal RNA is filed under the name uncultured bacterium. Its description in RNAcentral is "partial 16S ribosomal RNA". It matches the Rfam family "Bacterial small subunit ribosomal RNA", at positions 28 to 507 of the family's 1533-position model. The record is from RNAcentral.
GAUGAACGCUGGCGGCGUGCUUAACACAUGCAAGUCGAACGGAAAGGCCCAAGCUUGCUUGGGUACUCGAGUGGCGAACGGGUGAGUAACACGUGGGUGAUCUGCCCUGCACUUCGGGAUAAGCCUGGGAAACUGGGUCUAAUACCGGAUAGGACGAUGGUUUGGAUGCCAUUGUGGAAAGUUUUUUCGGUGUGGGAUGAGCUCGCGGCCUAUCAGCUUGUUGGUGGGGUAAUGGCCUACCAAGGCGUCGACGGGUAGCCGGCCUGAGAGGGUGUACGGCCACAUUGGGACUGAGAGACGGCCCAGACUCCUACGGGAGGCAGCAGUGGGGAAUAUUGCACAAUGGGCGCAGGCCUGAUGCAGCGACGCCGCGUGGGGGAUGACGGCCUUCGGGUUGUAAACUCCUUUCGCUAGGGACGAAGCGUUUUUGUGACGGUACCUGGAGAAGAAGCACCGGCUAACUACGUG